Molecule: ribosomal RNA, 707 nt
Filed under: Bacillus sp. (in: firmicutes)
Lineage: Bacteria; Bacillati; Bacillota; Bacilli; Caryophanales; Bacillaceae
Description: bacterial SSU rRNA
Rfam family: Bacterial small subunit ribosomal RNA
Source: RNAcentral
UUGAUUGAACCGCAUGGUUCAAUUAUAAAAGGUGGCUUUUAGCUACCACUUACAGAUGGACCCGCGGCGCAUUAGCUAGUUGGUGAGGUAACGGCUCACCAAGGCAACGAUGCGUACCCAACCUGAGAGGGUGAUCGGCCACACUGGGACUGAAACACGGCCCAAACUCCUACGGGAGGCAGCAGUAGGGAAUCUUCCGCAAUGGACAAAAGUCUGACGGACCACCGCCGCGGGAGUGAUGAAGGUUUUCGGAUCGUAAAACUCUGUUGUUAGGGAAAAACAAGUACCGUUCGAAUAGGGCGGUACCUUGACGGUACCUAACCAAAAAGCCACGGCUAACUACGUGCCAGCAGCCGCGGUAAUACGUAGGUGGCAAGCGUUGUCCGGAAUUAUUGGGCGUAAAGCGCGCGCAGGCGGUUUCUUAAGUCUGAUGUGAAAGCCCCCGGCUCACCCGGGGAGGGUCAUUGGAAACUGGGGAACUUGAGUGCAAAAAAGGAGAGUGGAAUUCCACGUGUAGCGGUGAAAUGCGUAAAGAUGUGGAGGACCACCAGUGGCGAAGGCGACUCUCUGGUCUGUAACUGACGCUGAGGCGCGAAAGCGUGGGGAGCGAACAGGAUUAGAUACCCUGGUAGUCCACGCCGUAAACGAUGAGUGCUAAGUGUUAGAGGGUUUCCGCCCUUUUAGUGCUGCAGCAAACGCAUUAAGCA